RNAcentral lists this ribosomal RNA (2904 nucleotides) under Escherichia coli. Its description in RNAcentral is "23S ribosomal RNA". It matches the Rfam family "Bacterial large subunit ribosomal RNA". Lineage: Bacteria; Pseudomonadati; Pseudomonadota; Gammaproteobacteria; Enterobacterales; Enterobacteriaceae. The record is from RNAcentral.
GGUUAAGCGACUAAGCGUACACGGUGGAUGCCCUGGCAGUCAGAGGCGAUGAAGGACGUGCUAAUCUGCGAUAAGCGUCGGUAAGGUGAUAUGAACCGUUAUAACCGGCGAUUUCCGAAUGGGGAAACCCAGUGUGUUUCGACACACUAUCAUUAACUGAAUCCAUAGGUUAAUGAGGCGAACCGGGGGAACUGAAACAUCUAAGUACCCCGAGGAAAAGAAAUCAACCGAGAUUCCCCCAGUAGCGGCGAGCGAACGGGGAGCAGCCCAGAGCCUGAAUCAGUGUGUGUGUUAGUGGAAGCGUCUGGAAAGGCGCGCGAUACAGGGUGACAGCCCCGUACACAAAAAUGCACAUGCUGUGAGCUCGAUGAGUAGGGCGGGACACGUGGUAUCCUGUCUGAAUAUGGGGGGACCAUCCUCCAAGGCUAAAUACUCCUGACUGACCGAUAGUGAACCAGUACCGUGAGGGAAAGGCGAAAAGAACCCCGGCGAGGGGAGUGAAAAAGAACCUGAAACCGUGUACGUACAAGCAGUGGGAGCACGCUUAGGCGUGUGACUGCGUACCUUUUGUAUAAUGGGUCAGCGACUUAUAUUCUGUAGCAAGGUUAACCGAAUAGGGGAGCCGAAGGGAAACCGAGUCUUAACUGGGCGUUAAGUUGCAGGGUAUAGACCCGAAACCCGGUGAUCUAGCCAUGGGCAGGUUGAAGGUUGGGUAACACUAACUGGAGGACCGAACCGACUAAUGUUGAAAAAUUAGCGGAUGACUUGUGGCUGGGGGUGAAAGGCCAAUCAAACCGGGAGAUAGCUGGUUCUCCCCGAAAGCUAUUUAGGUAGCGCCUCGUGAAUUCAUCUCCGGGGGUAGAGCACUGUUUCGGCAAGGGGGUCAUCCCGACUUACCAACCCGAUGCAAACUGCGAAUACCGGAGAAUGUUAUCACGGGAGACACACGGCGGGUGCUAACGUCCGUCGUGAAGAGGGAAACAACCCAGACCGCCAGCUAAGGUCCCAAAGUCAUGGUUAAGUGGGAAACGAUGUGGGAAGGCCCAGACAGCCAGGAUGUUGGCUUAGAAGCAGCCAUCAUUUAAAGAAAGCGUAAUAGCUCACUGGUCGAGUCGGCCUGCGCGGAAGAUGUAACGGGGCUAAACCAUGCACCGAAGCUGCGGCAGCGACGCUGAUGCGUUGUUGGGUAGGGGAGCGUUCUGUAAGCCUGCGAAGGUGUGCUGUGAGGCAUGCUGGAGGUAUCAGAAGUGCGAAUGCUGACAUAAGUAACGAUAAAGCGGGUGAAAAGCCCGCUCGCCGGAAGACCAAGGGUUCCUGUCCAACGUUAAUCGGGGCAGGGUGAGUCGACCCCUAAGGCGAGGCCGAAAGGCGUAGUCGAUGGGAAACAGGUUAAUAUUCCUGUACUUGGUGUUACUGCGAAGGGGGGACGGAGAAGGCUAUGUUGGCCGGGCGACGGUUGUCCCGGUUUAAGCGUGUAGGCUGGUUUUCCAGGCAAAUCCGGAAAAUCAAGGCUGAGGCGUGAUGACGAGGCACUACGGUGCUGAAGCAACAAAUGCCCUGCUUCCAGGAAAAGCCUCUAAGCAUCAGGUAACAUCAAAUCGUACCCCAAACCGACACAGGUGGUCAGGUAGAGAAUACCAAGGCGCUUGAGAGAACUCGGGUGAAGGAACUAGGCAAAAUGGUGCCGUAACUUCGGGAGAAGGCACGCUGAUAUGUAGGUGAAGUCCCUUGCGGAUGGAGCUGAAAUCAGUCGAAGAUACCAGCUGGCUGCAACUGUUUAUUAAAAACACAGCACUGUGCAAACACGAAAGUGGACGUAUACGGUGUGACGCCUGCCCGGUGCCGGAAGGUUAAUUGAUGGGGUUAGCGCAAGCGAAGCUCUUGAUCGAAGCCCCGGUAAACGGCGGCCGUAACUAUAACGGUCCUAAGGUAGCGAAAUUCCUUGUCGGGUAAGUUCCGACCUGCACGAAUGGCGUAAUGAUGGCCAGGCUGUCUCCACCCGAGACUCAGUGAAAUUGAACUCGCUGUGAAGAUGCAGUGUACCCGCGGCAAGACGGAAAGACCCCGUGAACCUUUACUAUAGCUUGACACUGAACAUUGAGCCUUGAUGUGUAGGAUAGGUGGGAGGCUUUGAAGUGUGGACGCCAGUCUGCAUGGAGCCGACCUUGAAAUACCACCCUUUAAUGUUUGAUGUUCUAACGUGGACCCGUGAUCCGGGUUGCGGACAGUGUCUGGUGGGUAGUUUGACUGGGGCGGUCUCCUCCUAAAGAGUAACGGAGGAGCACGAAGGUUGGCUAAUCCUGGUCGGACAUCAGGAGGUUAGUGCAAUGGCAUAAGCCAGCUUGACUGCGAGCGUGACGGCGCGAGCAGGUGCGAAAGCAGGUCAUAGUGAUCCGGUGGUUCUGAAUGGAAGGGCCAUCGCUCAACGGAUAAAAGGUACUCCGGGGAUAACAGGCUGAUACCGCCCAAGAGUUCAUAUCGACGGCGGUGUUUGGCACCUCGAUGUCGGCUCAUCACAUCCUGGGGCUGAAGUAGGUCCCAAGGGUAUGGCUGUUCGCCAUUUAAAGUGGUACGCGAGCUGGGUUUAGAACGUCGUGAGACAGUUCGGUCCCUAUCUGCCGUGGGCGCUGGAGAACUGAGGGGGGCUGCUCCUAGUACGAGAGGACCGGAGUGGACGCAUCACUGGUGUUCGGGUUGUCAUGCCAAUGGCACUGCCCGGUAGCUAAAUGCGGAAGAGAUAAGUGCUGAAAGCAUCUAAGCACGAAACUUGCCCCGAGAUGAGUUCUCCCUGACUCCUUGAGAGUCCUGAAGGAACGUUGAAGACGACGACGUUGAUAGGCCGGGUGUGUAAGCGCAGCGAUGCGUUGAGCUAACCGGUACUAAUGAACCGUGAGGCUUAACCUU